Molecule: transfer RNA, 89 nt
Filed under: Lentinula raphanica
Lineage: Eukaryota; Fungi; Basidiomycota; Agaricomycetes; Agaricales; Omphalotaceae
Description: tRNA-Gly
Rfam family: tRNA
About the family: Transfer RNA (tRNA) molecules are approximately 80 nucleotides in length. Their secondary structure includes four short double-helical elements and three loops (D, anti-codon, and T loops).
Source: RNAcentral
GCAUUAAUGGGGUAGUGGUAACCUGGGUCGUUGCCAUGAUUUGUCGGGUUAGUUUCGACCCGCCGGGGGUUCGAUUCCCCCUUAAUGCA